ACAGGUACCUUGCUAGUGGCGAUAGUAUGGUCUCUCUUUCAUAUGCAUUUAGAAUUGCUCAAAGUACAGUAUCAAGUAUUAUACUUGAAACUUGCAAUGUUUUGUGGGAUUUAUUAAGUGACAAAGUGCUCUGUAUUCCAAAUGAACAAACCUGGCUAAAUAUUGCUGGUAAUUUUGCAGAAAGGUGGCAAUUACCUCAUUGCAUUGGAGCAGUUGAUGGGAAACAUGUUGUAAUUCAAGCUCCACCAAAUUCAGGAUCAACAUUUUAUAAUUAUAAAGGAUCUCAUAGCAUUGUUCUCUUAGCAUUAUGUGAUGCUAAAUAUAAAUUCAUAAUGGUUGACAUUGGCAGUGAAGGGAGACACAGUGAUGGAGGGAUUUUUAAAAACUCCAACAUGGGAAAAAGGCUUUUAGAAAACACACUUAAUGUUCCAGAACCCUCUAUUUUGAUAGAUAAUAAAGAUCCUUUAAAUUAUUAUAUUGUUGCUGAUGAAGCUUUUCCCCUAUCCACUUAUAUUAUGCGUCCAUAUCCUGGAAAAUUUUUGCCACAAGAUAAAAGAAUUUUUAAUUACAGGAUUUCUAGAGGGCGCAGAGUGAUUGAAAACGCAUUUGGGAUACUAGCUGCUCGUUGGAGAAUAUAAAGAAAUGUUAUUAUAUCUAGUAAACCAACCAUAAUUGUCAUAGUGAAAGCUACAAUUUGCUUACACAAUUUCAUAAUUGAUAAUGAGCAAAAUAAAGAAAAGCAGUAUUGUAGUGCCACAAUUAUUGAUAGGGAAGAUGAAAAAGGAAAUAUUAUUGAAGGAGACUGGAGACGUGAACCUCGGCUAAACCUCCUGCCUGUAAACAGGACAAGCACUAAUAUGUAUGGCAGAGCAGCAGAAAAUAUGAGGAACAGAUUAAAAAAAUAUUUUAUGGAAGAUGGAGCAGUCACUUUCCAAUGGAAUAAAUAGCUUAACAGUUACAAAAUAACUGGAAUGAAGGCCUAAUUACUUUUAGUAACUUUUUCAUCUUAAUCUUAAUAAAGACUGUAAUUCAUUUCUA
RNAcentral lists this long non-coding RNA (1038 nucleotides) under Anthonomus grandis grandis. RNAcentral's name for it is "uncharacterized LOC126750476". Lineage: Eukaryota; Metazoa; Arthropoda; Insecta; Coleoptera; Curculionidae. The record is from RNAcentral.